Molecule: ribosomal RNA, 428 nt
Filed under: uncultured bacterium
Lineage: Bacteria
Description: partial 16S ribosomal RNA
Rfam family: Bacterial small subunit ribosomal RNA
Source: RNAcentral
GUGGGGAAUAUUGGGCAAUGGGGGCAACCCUGACCCAGCAACGCCGCGUGAGGGAAGAAGGUUUUCGGAUUGUAAACCUCUGUCCUAUGGGAAGAAGGAAGUGACGGUACCAUAGGAGGAAGCCCCGGCUAACUACGUGCCAGCAGCCGCGGUAAUACGCAGGGGGCGAGCGUUGUCCGGAAUUACUGGGCGUAAAGGGGGCGCAGGUGGCCUGACAAGUCAGAUGUGAAAUACCGAUGCUUAACGUCGGGGCUGCAUUUGAAACUAUGAGGCUGGAGUGCAGGAGAGGGAAGCGGAAUUCCUAGUGUAGCGGUGAAAUGCAUAGAUAUUAGGAGGAACACCAGUGGCGAAGGCGGCUUUCUGGACUGUAACUGACACUGAGGCACGAAAGCGUGGGGAGCAAACAGGAUUAGAUACCCGAGUAGUCC